This 1142-nucleotide long non-coding RNA is filed under the name Sorghum bicolor (sorghum). RNAcentral describes it as "long non-coding RNA (SBIC_LNC014001)". Lineage: Eukaryota; Viridiplantae; Streptophyta; Magnoliopsida; Poales; Poaceae. The record is from RNAcentral.
GGGUAAAACAUUUUAAAAGCAUUCUCUUUAUAAUUGUAGGGUGUUAAAAAUCCACUGUGUACCAUAGUCAGGGAUGUUUAUGGUUAAGAGUAAAGAUCCUUUCUUCUCAAUCCUGUCACUUUGAGUUUUUGUAUAUUUUUUUUGAAAGAAAGUUAGCAUACCUUUUUAUCCUCAUAGGUUCUUCUCAGAUCACUCAUUAUCUUUUAUAUAUCUCACUGAGGUUGUUUUAUUUUGCUAAAAUUCUCAAGCAUACUUACUUUGCAUUUAUUGCCUGAUCAAAACAGGAUCCGAGGAGGGGAAUGUCAUACUCUUAGAUCAAAGACUUUGGAAAUUAAAAUCUUUGUCAACUCUUGCUGGCAUAUUGCUUAUUAGAGGGACCAUGGGCUAUCAUUUUCUCAUUUUCUUCUUUUUUUUAAGUGGAUACCGAGGUAUCCCUAAUUCUACUGCCGGACACUUGUCCAUUUUUUCUGCGAGGUUGUCGAGCACUUGCUCCUUUUUAUUUCCUCAAAAUAUCUCUAUUUUUGCAUAGCCCAUGCCUCUAAUGCAAUAAUACUUCGGAAGAGUGAAUCUUUCUGAAUAAAUGUCUUGAUCUUAGGAGCAUGAUAAACCUCUCAACAAGGGUCUAACUCAUUUUGAACAAACUCAAUACAGAGGAGAUAGCUUUUAUAAUUAUAAUUAAUAUUUUUAGUUUUAUCAGGCAUAUAAAACACUGAGGAUGGUAGCUAGAGUUUUGAAUAUUUUGAAAUAAAUUCUCCAAGCAACAAUGAUAUCAAGAAUAAGAAACUCAUACUCUACCAUCACAUAUUCCAUAUUGACUUAAGUAACACAGGGUUUUAAAAUGAUUUUAUAAUAGUUGCAAGUUUUCAGGAAAUAUCAUAGAUUGAGAUUAACCAUGAUUAGAAAUAUUUUAAUCUUUUUAAUUUAUCAUGUCGGAAACAAUAUUCUGCAUAAUCCAAAAUAUAUGUAUGUGUAAAGUAAAGUGUGCAGAGUGUGUACCUGAAUCGUGGAGUGGUGUGGUCGGAGUGUGUUUGACAUGUCGAGGGAUCUCCCCCAUACUUGUUUUCUGCUUUCUUGCACAAAAAUAAAGUAGAGACACACAAGACAUAAUAAUAAUACUCUUUAUUAAUCUUGAGGCAUUUAUU